CAGUCGCCGCGGGAAUACGUAGGGUCCGAGCGUUGUCCGGAAUUAUUGGGCGUAAAGGGCUCGUAGGCGGUUUGUUGCGUCGGGAGUGAAAACCCAGGGCUUAACUUUGGGCUUGCUUUCGAUACGGGCAGACUUGAGGCAUUGAGGGGAGAACGGAAUUCCUGGUGUAGCGGUGAAAUGCGCAGAUAUCAGGAGGAACACCGGUGGCGAAGGCGGUUCUCUGGCAAUGUUCUGACGCUGAGGAGCGAAAGUGUGGGGGGCGAACAGGAUUAGAGACCCCAGUAGUCCCUGUCUCUUAUAA
RNAcentral lists this ribosomal RNA (301 nucleotides) under uncultured bacterium. RNAcentral describes it as "partial 16S ribosomal RNA". It matches the Rfam family "Bacterial small subunit ribosomal RNA", at positions 509 to 809 of the family's 1533-position model. The record is from RNAcentral.